CUAGAGCAAGGCUUUUAAACUUUGGGGUCAGGACGACAGGGAUUCUUUCUAUUCUUUCUAGACAUAGGUGUGUUUGAAACUUUGCAGUCAGGGAGGAGGCUCUCCGAGGUGUGGGUUCCAAGUGAACAUAACCACCAGCUGGAGGCUGGGGACCAGGAUCUCCAACCAGCAGCUGACCUUUCUGCCCUUGGCGCCCUUUUGCUCCCUUGGCUGUCCUUACAGGCCUAUGGGAUUUCAGGCCUCCCCUCCACGCCCAGUUGGAAGCACCGAUGGCAGAAUAUUAACUACCAGUUCCAGAGCAAGAGGAAGAGACACCUGGUUUUCCUGCGCCCGUGAGAGCCGGGAUUUGGGGACACAGGCUUCAGGCUUUUUGCAUGAUGAUCCCGAAGCAGACUUGCACCAUGCCAAGGAUGAGCUGGAAGGAGUGCUGAACAAUUCAGUGCCCCCUGUCUUCAGAUUAUCUGCCUUAUCUCCCUCUUGGGGUCUCUGAGAUCCUGCCCUUCACACUCCAAAUAAAUGAGCUUCUGCCUCUCUGGGCCUCUCUCUGCUUUAUUGAGGGGAUAUUCUGUGUACCGAGGGACACACUGAGUUGACUGAACCCAUGGGCUGGGGAGUGUCCACCAUCAUGCCUUGAUGCUGCCCCCACACCCAUCGACCCAUGAAUCCCCACUGCUGUGCCAUAGAAAGAAAGGCAGAGACAUGCAGAG
This 707-nucleotide long non-coding RNA is filed under the name Heterocephalus glaber (naked mole-rat). Its description in RNAcentral is "lncRNA (ENSHGLG00000043568.1)". The record is from RNAcentral. Lineage: Eukaryota; Metazoa; Chordata; Mammalia; Rodentia; Bathyergidae.